CUCUCUCUCUGAAAAUAAAUAAGCAUUAAAAAAAUAAAAUUCUGUGGGUACCAACACAGAAAUUAUGGAUGCAAGAUUAAUCUGAAUUUUGCUACACACUUUGGAAAGCAUGAAGUUCUCAUUACACGUAACUGAUUUUUGAAGUCUUACCAGAUGUCCAUCUCAACCCAUCAACAACAGCUUGCAGAUAUUUUCUAAGAUCAGAGGAUCUCAGGAUUCAUUAGAAAUGGAUUUCAAAGUAGUGGUAACAAGUGGAUUCUGAAGUCAGACUGCUUGUGCUCAAAUCCUGAUUCUACAGCUUUCUAGGUGGAUGCUUAAGUAAGUUAUUUAAAGUUUUUGUGUCUCAGUUUCCUCAUUUACAAAUUAAGGAUAAUAAUAGUACUUAACAUGAGAUCACUAAUAAAUUAUCAGCUUGGAAAAGUUCCU
Molecule: long non-coding RNA, 426 nt
Filed under: Felis catus (domestic cat)
Lineage: Eukaryota; Metazoa; Chordata; Mammalia; Carnivora; Felidae
Description: lncRNA (ENSFCAG00000048486.1)
Source: RNAcentral